Non-coding RNA from Sturnus vulgaris (Common starling), 336 nucleotides. The record is from RefSeq and is a predicted model, not a curated record. NCBI's taxonomy places the organism in Eukaryota, Metazoa, Chordata, Aves, Passeriformes, Sturnidae.
UUAAGAAAAAUUGAAUGGCAGUAAAAAUUUGUUUUUUAAUUUCAUUUUCUAGUGAGACCUUGUGUGAGAUCCAUAUAGUUGCCUGAUAUCAGGACAUAUUUAUGACAGUAAACCAGUGUAUCUCUGGUUCUGGAAGCAGCUGAGCUCUUUUCAGUGGUACCCAGUGCUGGACUUGUCAGCACAUCUAUACGUUGGCAACUUAUUAUUCCACGAGCAUCACUUCAUUUGGGCUGGCAAUAAGUCCUGUUCAGUCAUUGUGCUGCAGAGGAAUGUUUAAAGCUGCGAUGUGCAUUGGAGUCUGUUUGUUUGCAGCAGCUGAUUUGCCUAAGCUUUGAU